This is a long non-coding RNA of Dreissena polymorpha, 267 nucleotides long. RefSeq lists it as uncharacterized. The record is from RefSeq and is a predicted model, not a curated record. NCBI's taxonomy places the organism in Eukaryota, Metazoa, Mollusca, Bivalvia, Myida, Dreissenidae. The transcript has 3 exons.
CGGACCGGUCAAUGUGACGUCAUGCCAAUUCUUCCAUUCGGGCUAGACGCAGGGGAUUUAAGUCUUGGCCAUAACCUUUGUAGUGAACAAAUUGUGUUUGCACCUUCGAUUCCAGUCUUCGACAAAAUGAGACGGUCUAUGCAUGUGUGCAGGAGAGGGCUCAUAAGUUUUGAUACGAAGUAUCUCUCUGAAAAGCCUAAACGUGCUUUGGGUGGAAAAGCAAAUAUCAACUUUCCAGUUGUAGCGGCAUACUUUACGGAAAUAUAU